RNAcentral lists this ribosomal RNA (301 nucleotides) under uncultured bacterium. Its description in RNAcentral is "partial 16S ribosomal RNA". It matches the Rfam family "Bacterial small subunit ribosomal RNA", at positions 509 to 807 of the family's 1533-position model. The record is from RNAcentral.
CAGUCGCCGCGGUAAUACAGAGGAUGCAAGCGUUAUCCGGAAUGAUUGGGCGUAAAGCGUCUGUAGGUGGCUUUUCAAGUCCGCCGUCAAAUCCCAGGGCUCAACCCUGGACAGGCGGUGGAAACUACCAAGCUGGAGUACGGUAGGGGCAGAGGGAAUUUCCAGUGGAGCGGUGAAAUGCGUUGAGAUCGAAAAGAACACCAACAGCGAAAGCACUCUGCUGGGACGACACUGACACUAAGAGACGAAAGCUAGGGGAGCAAAUGGGAUUAGAUACCCCUGUAGUCCCUGUCUCUUAUAC